UACGGGGGGAGCAAGCGUUGUUCGGAUUUACUGGGCGUAAAGGGCGCGUAGGCGGCCAGCACAAGUCAGUUGUGAAAUCUCCGAGCUUAACUCGGAAAGGUCAACUGAUACUGUGCGGCUAGAGUGCAGAAGGGGCAACUGGAAUUCCAGGUGUAGCGGUGAAAUGCGUAGAUAUCUGGAGGAACACCGGUGGCGAAGGCGGCAUCCUGGACCAACACUGACGCUGAGGAGCGAAAGCCAGGGGAGCAAACGGG
This 254-nucleotide ribosomal RNA is filed under the name uncultured bacterium. RNAcentral describes it as "partial 16S ribosomal RNA". It matches the Rfam family "Bacterial small subunit ribosomal RNA", at positions 524 to 776 of the family's 1533-position model. The record is from RNAcentral.